Molecule: transfer RNA, 77 nt
Filed under: Alphaproteobacteria bacterium
Lineage: Bacteria; Pseudomonadati; Pseudomonadota; Alphaproteobacteria
Description: tRNA-Ile
Rfam family: tRNA
About the family: Transfer RNA (tRNA) molecules are approximately 80 nucleotides in length. Their secondary structure includes four short double-helical elements and three loops (D, anti-codon, and T loops).
Source: RNAcentral
GCGCUUGUAGCUCAGAUGGUCAGAGCCAUGGACUCAUAAUCCAUAGGUCACUGGUUCAAAUCCAGUCAGGCGUACCA